RNAcentral lists this long non-coding RNA (1436 nucleotides) under Salvia miltiorrhiza (redroot sage). Its description in RNAcentral is "long non-coding RNA (SMIL_LNC003949)". Lineage: Eukaryota; Viridiplantae; Streptophyta; Magnoliopsida; Lamiales; Lamiaceae. The record is from RNAcentral.
UUUGGGUGUCCCAUUAAAAAUGGCUACUUUCUAAAAAUGGCAAAAGUUUACUUUAAUUAAGUCAACAAUUACUCACUAAUUUGGUCAACAAUUGUAGGCCACUUUCUAAAAAUGCCAAAAUUACUCACUAAUUUGGUCAAUAAUUGUAGGUCACUUUCUAAAAAUUACUCACUAAUUUUGGUGGGUCACACUCAAUUAAAACAUAGCAAUCCCUUUCUUAAUCUCUGUGCCCAAAAAAAAGUGGCCACUUUUAUUGGGACGGAGGAAGUAAGUGCUUAUAAGCUGCCCAAAAAAUAAAUUCCUCUAUUCCAACUUAUUUUCUUAUUAUCUUAUAAGUAGGGAUGGCAGUAGAUCUUGGACCCGGUUCAGAUCCGUUUUACGGAUCUGGAUCUUAAUUUUUUGGACCCGACGGAUCUGGAUCUGGAUAUCAAUUUUGAAAACGGAUCUGGAUCUGGAUCUUGAAAUUUUAGAUCCGGAUCCAGCCCAGAUCCGACCCGUGGAUCCGUUUUAUUUUAUAUAUAUUUUUUAUAUUUUAUAUUUAGUUUACUAAUAAUAUUAACGAAAUUAAAAUUAAUAAAUAAAUUAUAUUCAAAAGAAUAAAACCUAAAAGUAAUUAGAUAAAAGUAUUGUGUGUUAUAUUUUUCAUGAUGGAAAUUAGAUGUUGUUGAUUUUGUGAAAUUUUUUUAAUUUAAUUUAAAAAUAGUAGAUCCAUGGAUCUGGACCUGUGGACCCGCGGAUCUGACGGAUCUGGAUCCAAAAUUUUCAGAUCCACGGAUCUGGAUAUGGUAUAUGAAAACGGAUCUGGAUCUGAUAUUGGCCAGACCCGGUCCAGAUCCGGCCCGUUGCCAUCCCUACUUAUAAGUAACACUCAUUUUACAAAGUUAACUCAUCCAUGAUUUUUUAUUUUUAUCAUAUAUAAUUCUAAUUUCAUCUCUCUUCAAUUUUUUCUCUUUAACAAAGAUUUUCUCUCUCUAACUAAAAAUUCUUUCUCUAGCUUAUAAGUUAAAUUAUCCAAAUACUUUGACAAUUUAUAAGAGCAUCCAUAAUGAAACACGCGAACCCCUCACCGUUGCCGAGCUAAGGAGGCGCGCAUUGGGCGCGGUACUGUGCACCGAGCACGAGAGGAGAGAAAGAAGGGUGGGGGACGUAUUUUACACAACCCAAUCAAAAAAUAAUGGACUAAAGAAAGAAAAAAUAUUGAUUAAGAUGAGAUGGGGCUCGCUGCUGCAAACAAAUUGGCUCGAACGAAAGGGGCCUACCUGCGAGCCUGGAAGCUUGGCUUGCGAAUAUCAAUGCUUUAAGCUUUUAAAAAACUAUAUCUUAUAAAUUCUUGAAAUAUUUUAUAAGUUUCAAGAACUUAUAAGCUCUUCAAAAUAAGCUUAGCCAAGCAUCCUCUAAAUUUAUCAAUGAUAAUUGAAGAGGUGGUCGAACGCCAC